This 61-nucleotide transfer RNA is filed under the name Calamaria septentrionalis (Hong Kong dwarf snake). RNAcentral describes it as "tRNA-Lys". Lineage: Eukaryota; Metazoa; Chordata; Lepidosauria; Squamata; Calamariidae. The record is from RNAcentral.
CGCUGAGAAGCUUUUAUAGCAUUAACCUUUUAAGUUAAAGAAGAAAACCUUUCCUUAGCGG